GCCUGGGUGGCUCAGUCGGUUGAGCGUCCGACUUUGGCUCAGGUCAUCAUCUCGCGAUUUGUGGGUACGAGCCCCAUGUCAGGCU
RNAcentral lists this transfer RNA (85 nucleotides) under Felis catus (domestic cat). It matches the Rfam family "tRNA". From Rfam's summary of the family: Transfer RNA (tRNA) molecules are approximately 80 nucleotides in length. The record is from Rfam by way of RNAcentral. Lineage: Eukaryota; Metazoa; Chordata; Mammalia; Carnivora; Felidae.